UGUCGUCAGCUCGUGUUGUGAAAUGUUGGGUUAAGUCCCGCAACGAGCGCAACCCUUAUCCUUUGUUGCCAGCGGUUAGGCCGGGAACUCAAAGGAGACUGCCAGUGAUAAACUGGAGGAAGGUGGGGAUGACGUCAAGUCAUCAUGGCCCUUACGACCAGGGCUACACACGUGCUACAAUGGCAUAUACAAAGAGAAGCGACCUCGCGAGAGCAAGCGGACCUCAUAAAGUAUGUCGUAGUCCGGAUUGGAGUCUGCAACUCGACUCCAUGAAGUCGGAAUCGCUAGUAAUCGUGGAUCAGAAUGCCACGGUGAAUACGUUCCCGGGCCUUGUACACACCGCCCGUCACACCAUGGGAGUGGGUUGCAAAAGAAGUAGGUAGCUUAACCUUCGGGAGGGCGCUUACCACUUUGUGAUUCAUGACUGGGGUGAAGUCGUAACAAGGUAACCGUAGGGGAACCUGCGGUUGGAUCACCUCCUUACCUUA
Molecule: ribosomal RNA, 488 nt
Filed under: Citrobacter koseri
Lineage: Bacteria; Pseudomonadati; Pseudomonadota; Gammaproteobacteria; Enterobacterales; Enterobacteriaceae
Description: bacterial SSU rRNA
Rfam family: Bacterial small subunit ribosomal RNA
Source: RNAcentral